CGGCGCCUACGUGUCCCUCCCCCGAGGCCCCGCCCCCUUUUGCGGGCUCUCAUUCUCAACCCCAGGUCGACCCAUUUCCCUCUCCCAUUGGCCCGCGGCGGCUCCAACCAUUGGUCCGCGCUACCUGUCCAUUUCUUGCGAGAGUUCAACACCUCCUGGCUGGAGGAGCUGCGGCCUCAUUGGGUGCAUGCGGAGGGAUGGGUGGACCCAGAAAGUUUUAGGUGGAGGUUGAUUGUUAGACGAGCUGGAGACAGUGGAACAAUCUGUAAAGGCUGGGUGUGGAAGAAUAGAAAACCUCUGAAGAGGACACCGGGGUGGUUCAGUCGGGGUCCCACUUGAUCUCACGGUUGCUUCCUCUUCCAUAAAACGGGGAUGCCAAUCCAUACCUACCUUGGUGUAGAGGACGACACCAGAUUGUUUCUCAAGAUCUCUUCCAGCUCGGGAGAAACAGAGCUUAACAGAUGAAUGGCUGCUACCAGCAAGCUGGGGAAAAGGAAUCCAGAGCCUGUGAUUUCCAAGAGCCUUUGUGACCCUUUCUGGAGAGCUGAGGCUGUUCUGGAGGCCUCUAACGUCAGAGUCUUGGCCCUUUGCCUUAAGACUGGGAAACUCAGAAGCAGGGAAAGUAAAUGGCAUGCUCCAAUAACAUGGUGCUAACCAACAGCAGAUCUAAGAAAGAACUCAGGUCUUACAGCGUGGUACAGAUCCUUUUCACUACUUGCUGCCUCCUUCCAUGCUUCGAUGAGGUAUGACCGAAGUGGUUAGCCGCACAGAUUUCAAGCAGACAAGAUGAUACUGAAACCAUUAUCUAUGAACUCAUCAGUACAAUCAGGCGCCCUCAGAGGAAAAGCCAUAUGAGGACAAAGUGGCCAUCCAUAAGCUAGGAAGAGAGCCUUCGCCAGAACCCAAACUCUAUUGGAACCUUGAUCUUGGACUUUCCAGCCUCCAGAACUGUGAGAAAAUGAAUUUCUGUUGUUAAAGCCGUGCAGUCUGUGGUAUUUUGUUGUGGCAGGUGGACUAGACUAAUAUAGGUGGUUUACAGUUUGGGGCAGUUGUAAAUGAAGCUGCUGUGAAUGUUUGUGUAUGUCAGUGUGUGGACAUCUGCCUUCAUUUCUCUUGGGCAAAUGUCCAGAAGGGGAACGUCUGGGUCACAUGGUAUGUGUACCUUUACUCUUUUAAGAAACUGUCAGCACGGUUUUCCACAGUGACCAUGCCAUUUUGCAUACCCACCAGCAGCGUAUGGGACUUCCGAUUGCUUUGUUCUUGCCAAUACUUAGUGUGUUUAAUUGUUUUAAUUUUUAAAAAUCUAACUUUUUUGACGGCGAUUUAAUUUGCCAUUCUGGAGAAUGUGUGGUGUUAUCUCACUGCACGUUUAAUUGGCAGCCCCCUCAUGGCCAAUGAUGUAGCUCAUCUUUUCGUGUACUUACUUGCCAUCCUUGUAUCUUCUUUAGUGAAGUAUCUGUUCAAAUCUUUCACCCUCUUAAUCAUUGAUUGAGAGCUAAUGGAACACACAUUUGAAUAAGCAUAAGCAUAGAACAUCAGAUUGUGGAUCUUACCGACUAUCCAGGUUGGCAGUCUGGGAAAGGAGACCAGAACAUCCUGGAAGAGCACACGGCAUUGAAACUUGGCAGAGGCUGGUGAGAGCUGAGGAUCAAUUCUGCCAGCUUCCCAGUUGUUUCUAAGUUUGGCCUUGUGACCUUCCUAACAGUUUUCUCACCAUUCGCCCCCGGGGCUUCUGAGAACCCCAAUUUCAUGAAAUUUCUGUGGGAGUCUCUUGUCACAGGAGUGCACCAUCUGUGACUUUUGCCUCAAGAGGUUUGCCAAGAUUGUAGGCGGAGACAGAGACACCCACAGAAGUACCUAGAUAAGAUCUGGUCUGGAGUUGAGAACAAAGUAGUGUCUAAAACACAUUCCACUCGAGUGAAGUCCUUGGAAAGGAGGAAUGAGGAGAAAGGACCACGGGAUGAUAGGAACGAGAACAGACGAUAAUAGUUGGAGCCGUGAUCAAGGACACCGUGUUCCGUCAUGGCCAACUCCAUGCCUGGAAAAGAUAAGCGGGGGAGAAUCCGGGGAAGAGCAGAGAACAUGAUUAAAGAAUGAAGACUCUGAUUUAUGAGGCUGACUUCAUAGAGCUCACUGAAGCUAGUUCAUUUAACGAAAUGUAACUGAAGCUAAUUUUCCAUCAGAGCCUCAAAGGCAAUGGAAAUGCUCAUAUAAAAGAUUAGGAAAAUUGCAAAUGUAGGAGUCAGAUUGUCUAGCAAACCCAUUAAGUAAAAUGAAAAUAACUUCUGCAUUAAGCGGACCAGUUCGUGAUCUAAACUUGUCUUCUCUCUGUCCUGACAAGUCCCUCGUUCACAUUCUCUCGUUCUCUUCCAUCUUUCUCUUUAUUCCCUCCCUCUUUGUUUUUUUCUGGGGAAAUGUCAUAACUGUAUACAAAACCCCAGCUCCGCA
Long non-coding RNA from Felis catus (domestic cat), 2448 nucleotides. RefSeq lists it as uncharacterized. Lineage: Eukaryota; Metazoa; Chordata; Mammalia; Carnivora; Felidae. The record is from RefSeq and is a predicted model, not a curated record. The transcript is spliced from 8 exons.